GACGAACGCUGGCGGCGUGCUUAACACACGCAAGUCGAACGAUGAAGCUGGAGCUUGCCCCGGUGGAUUAGUGGCGAACGGGUGAGUAACACGUGAGCAAUCUGCCCUUCACUCUGGGAUAACUGCGGGAAACUGUAGCUAAUACCGGAUACGAGACCUUGGGGCAUCCCAGGGUCUGGAAAGAAUUUCGGUGAAGGAUGAGCUCGCGGCCUAUCAGCUAGUUGGUGAGGUAAUGGCUCACCAAGGCGACGACGGGUAGCCGGCCUGAGAGGGUGACCGGCCACACUGGGACUGAGACACGGCCCAGACUCCUACGGGAGGCAGCAGUGGGGAAUAUUGCACAAUGGGCGAAAGCCUGAUGCAGCAACGCCGCGUGAGGGAUGAAGGCCUUCGGGUUGUAAACCUCUUUUAGUAAGGAAGAAGCGCAAGUGACGGUACCUACAGAAAAAGCACCGGCUAACUACGUGCCAGCCGCCGCGGUAA
This 483-nucleotide ribosomal RNA is filed under the name uncultured bacterium. RNAcentral describes it as "partial 16S ribosomal RNA". It matches the Rfam family "Bacterial small subunit ribosomal RNA", at positions 28 to 523 of the family's 1533-position model. The record is from RNAcentral.